This 339-nucleotide ribosomal RNA is filed under the name uncultured Latescibacterota bacterium. Its description in RNAcentral is "bacterial SSU rRNA". It matches the Rfam family "Bacterial small subunit ribosomal RNA", at positions 29 to 351 of the family's 1533-position model. The record is from RNAcentral. Lineage: Bacteria; Pseudomonadati; Candidatus Latescibacterota.
AACGAACGCUGGCGGCGUGGAUUAGGCAUGCAAGUCGAACGUGAAGGAACCCUUCGGGUUCUGGAAAGUGGCAAACGGGUGAGUAACGCGUGAGAAACCUACCUUCCAGUUGGGGAUAACACUUCUAACGAGGUGCUAAUACCGAAUACCAUCUUUCCGUCGCAUGGCGGAUUGAUGAAAGGCGGCCUCUGCUUGCAUGCUGUCACUGGAAGAUGGUCUCGCGUCCCAUUAGCUUGUUGGUGGGGUAACGGCCCACCAAGGCGAUGAUGGGUAGCCGGCCUUAGCGGGUGUCCGGCCACACUGGGACUGAGAUACGGCCCAGACUCCUACGGGAGGCUG